Molecule: ribosomal RNA, 17 nt
Filed under: Ficus obscura
Lineage: Eukaryota; Viridiplantae; Streptophyta; Magnoliopsida; Rosales; Moraceae
Description: partial 28S ribosomal RNA
Source: RNAcentral
AUGCGACCCCAGGUCAG